AAAGGGUUCAUUCUUGCAUUUCUUGAGCUCCCAAACUUCCCAGGGCAGGGCCUUCAAUGGAACUUUGACAAUUUAUACCAGCUGAGGAUCUGCUUCAUAUUCAACUACAUAUGUACAUUGGGAGUCCAUGAGAGACUAUCAUUUGAUCCAGGCAUGCCAAUACAUGGAAAUCUCAUCUGUCUGUAAAAAAUACAAAAGACAUCCAGCCUUGAUCUGCAAAUGUCAAAUGACUGAGAAUGCACCGUAUCCCUGAAGGUGUUGAGUGUUUGAAGCUCCUGGGGAAGUCAGCAGUAGCUGUGGGUGUUCAGCAGCUCUGAAGAUCAGGUCAACAAUAAAUAAAUAGACAACAUGGAUCAACCUGAGCAACAUCAUGACUCCAUCUCCUUAGAUGUAAGAGGAGGAGGAGCACGUCAUCCAGUAAACUGACAACAACAAUUUGCUCCUAAAGAUGAAACUAAUGCUGCAGCUUUGCUUGCAAAACAUAUAUCAAGCUCCUUUUGGUAUUCAGCCUAUUAUUUAACUUGUCCACUAAGUAAACAGAUAUAACAUUUUGUCAUGAUCAACAUAAGUUUUAAAGAUGACUUAUGUGCAGAACCCACAUCUUUCCCCAUCUCAGCUCAGGGUUCCAAGGUUAAAUAUUUUAAUGACAUUUAUAUGUGCAUUUUAUUAUAUACAAUGCUCGUUAGAACUGGAGAGGUUUACUCUGCGCAGAUUAGUAUGCAAUCAAAUAAAAGUGCCACCUACCACAGUGGGUGGGCUUGGUGGAAUAAACUUUGUUGGCUAUAUUUAGCUGGAUAGAGCAAUGCUCGCUAACCACAAAAAUGUGUUUUCUGAACACUAAAUUUGAAAAGGCAGGAAUGUUUAUUUCUUAACAAGCUUCACUCACCAAAGAAUUGAAAACACUUGAGGGAUGUAAUUUAUCUGAAGUCUUUUCAACUGAAAUGUUUUCAUUGGACCAGGACAUUUAAGCCUAUGCAGUGAAUGAAAAUUAGUUCAUGCAAACAGCUAUCAAGAGGAAGUUGUUAUCCUUU
Mauremys mutica (yellowpond turtle) is the source of this 1031-nucleotide long non-coding RNA. RefSeq lists it as uncharacterized. The transcript is spliced from 4 exons. Lineage: Eukaryota; Metazoa; Chordata; Testudines; Geoemydidae. The record is from RefSeq and is a predicted model, not a curated record.